AGCUAGCCUUUAGAUUUGUCUGUUAACAGUAGAAAUGCUAUAAUAAAUCGGUAACAUAUGUUGCCAGGCAGGGAAAAGUGGUAGACAAGAGCCUGGGAGACCAAGCCAAAUUGCUUUCUUACCCAAAUUAUCUCCGUGAUUGCCUGUCCUGAGGCUUUGGGCCAAUGCAAACUACGGAAUGGCAAGUCUUACAAUCUUGUCUGUCCUUGUCUGGCAUCCAUCCUCCUUCCAGAGUGAACAGAGGUAUAUCCAUAAGCACCGGACACUGAUUUCACAGCCUCAUCCAAAGCCAGGCAAUUCUUGAGGCAAACAAACAAAGGGGUGUGAGUGAUUUCAUUUAUUUUGAUAAUCCUCUGUCUGCACAGGGGCACUUUGCUGUCUUUGUCAAAGUGAAUGACAACAAUUUGGCCAACUCUCUCUGAGCUGCACUCAACAGUGACAGGCAAAUUAUCAGAGGCCCUGCACUUCUUAUUAUCAGAGGAGAAGCCAUCAGGGGGACGCAGGGAGGAUGCCUCUCCCUUGUCACUAUUUGUCAGUGGGACAAGGGCCA
Molecule: long non-coding RNA, 550 nt
Filed under: Mus musculus (house mouse)
Lineage: Eukaryota; Metazoa; Chordata; Mammalia; Rodentia; Muridae
Description: predicted gene 28401
Source: RNAcentral